GACGAACGCUGGCGGCGUGCUUAACACAUGCAAGUCGAACGGAAGGGCCCUGCCUUUGUGUGCUGCUCGAGUGGCGAACGGGUGAGUAACACGUGAGUAACCUGCCCCUGACUUUGGGAUAACUUCAGGAAACUGGGGCUAAUACCGGAUAGGAGCUCCUGCUGCAUGGUGGGGGUUGGAAAGUUUCGUCGGUUGGGGAUGGACUCGCGGCUUAUCAGCUUGUUGGUGGGGUAGUGGCUUACCAAGGCUAUGACGGGUAGCCGGCCUGAGAGGGUGACCGGCCACACUGGGACUGAGAUACGGCCCAGACUCCUACGGGAGGCAGCAGUGGGGAAUAUUGCACAAUGGGCGGAAGCCUGAUGCAGCAACGCCGCGUGCGGGAUGACGGCCUUCGGGUUGUAAACCGCUUUCGGCUGGGAAGAAGCGUGAGUGACGGUAAUGGGUAAAGAAGCACCGGCUAACUACGUG
RNAcentral lists this ribosomal RNA (468 nucleotides) under uncultured bacterium. RNAcentral describes it as "partial 16S ribosomal RNA". It matches the Rfam family "Bacterial small subunit ribosomal RNA", at positions 28 to 507 of the family's 1533-position model. The record is from RNAcentral.